This 404-nucleotide ribosomal RNA is filed under the name Actinomycetes bacterium. RNAcentral's name for it is "Actinobacteria bacterium partial 16S ribosomal RNA". It matches the Rfam family "Bacterial small subunit ribosomal RNA", at positions 355 to 776 of the family's 1533-position model. Lineage: Bacteria; Bacillati; Actinomycetota; Actinomycetes. The record is from RNAcentral.
UGGGGAAUCUUGCGCAAUGGGCGAAAGCCUGCCGCAGCCAUGCCGCGUGAAUGAUGAAGGUCUUAGGAUUGUAAAAUUCUUUCACCGGGGACGAUAAUGACGGUACCCGGAGAAGAAGCCCCGGCUAACUUCGUGCCAGCAGCCGCGGUAAUACGAAGGGGGCUAGCGUUGCUCGGAAUUACUGGGCGUAAAGGGAGCGUAGGCGGACAUUUAAGUCAGGGGUGAAAUCCCGGGGCUCAACCUCGGAAUUGCCUUUGAUACUGGGUGUCUUGAGUAUGAGAGAGGUGUGUGGAACUCCGAGUGUAGAGGUGAAAUUCGUAGAUAUUCAGAAGAACACCAGUGGCGAAGGCGACACACUGGCUCAUUACUGACGCUAAGGCUCGAAAGCGUGGGGAGCAAACAGG